Molecule: long non-coding RNA, 1083 nt
Filed under: Cyanistes caeruleus (blue tit)
Lineage: Eukaryota; Metazoa; Chordata; Aves; Passeriformes; Paridae
Description: lncRNA (ENSCCEG00000003993.1)
Source: RNAcentral
AUGUUUUUUGGAUUUUUUUUUUGUUUUUUGGGAUUUUUUUUGGAUUUUUUUGGGAUUUUUUGGGAUUUUUUGGGAUUUUUUUGGGAUUUUUUGGAGGAAUUUUUGAGAUUUUUUCGAAAUUUUUUAGGAAUAUUUUGGGAAUAUUUUGGGGAUUUUUUUGGAUUUUUUGGGGAUUUUUUGGGAUUUUUUUGGAUUUUUUGGGGGAUUUUUUGGGGAUUUUUUUGGGAUUUUUUUGGAUUUUUGGGGGAUUUUUUGGGGAUUGUUUGGGAUUUUUUUGGGAUUUUUUGGGGAUUUUUUUGGAUUUUUGGGGGAUUUUUUGGGAUUUUUUGGGGAUUUUUUUGGAUUUUUUGGGAUUUUUUGGGGAAUUUUUGGGGAAUUUUUGGGGAUUUUUGGGGAUUUUUUGGGAUUUUUUGGGAUUUNNNNNNNNNNNNNNNNNNNNGGAUUUUUUCGGGAUUUUUUCGGGGGAUUUUUUGGGGAUUUUUUGGGGAUUUUUGGGGGGGAUUUUUUGGGGAUUUUUUGGGAUUUUUUUUGGAUUUUUUGGGGAUUUUUUGGGAUUUUUUUGGAUUUUUUGGGGGAUUUUUUGGGGAUUUUUUUGGGAUUUUUUUGGAUUUUUGGGGGAUUUUUUGGGGAUUGUUUGGGAUUUUUUGGGGAUUGUUUGGGAUUUUUUUGGGAUUUUUUGGGGAUUUUUUUGGAUUUUUGGGGGAUUUUUUGGGAUUUUUUGGGGAUUUUUUUGGAUUUUUUGGGAUUUUUUGGGGAAUUUUUGGGGAAUUUUUGGGGAUUUUUGGGGAUUUUUUGGGAUUUUUUGGGAUUUUUUUGGGGAUUUUUUUGGGAUUUUUUGGGGAUUUNNNNNNNNNNNNNNNNNNNNCCGGAUGGAGGCGGCGUCGGAGCCGCUGCCGGGUUCAGUCAGGCAAAAAGCGGCCACCAAUUCCCCUAAAAAAAAUGGGAAUUUGGGGGAUUUUUUUUGGAAUUUUUUGGGAUUUUUUUGGGAUUUUUUGGGAUUUUUUGGGGGAUUUUUUGGGAAUUUUUGGGGAUUUUUUACGGAUUUUUUCGGAUUUUUUUGGGAUUUUUUGGGGAUUUUUUUAG